GGGGGUGACUAGUGACAGAGUGAGAGAGAGGGUGACUAGUGACAGAGUGAGGAAGGGGGUGACACAGUGACAGAGUGAGGGAGGGGGUGACUAGUGACAGAGUGAAGGAGGUGGUGACUGUCACUAGUCUCCCUCACUCUGUCACUAGUCACCCCUCCCUCUCUCUGUCACUAGUCACACCCUCCCUCACUCUGUCACUAGUCACACCCUUCCUCACUGUCACUAGUCACACCCUUCCUCACUGUCACUAGUCACCCCCUCCCUCUCUCUGUCACUAGUCACACCCCCUCCCUCACUCUGUCACUAGAGUGA
Pelobates cultripes (western spadefoot toad) is the source of this 312-nucleotide non-coding RNA. Lineage: Eukaryota; Metazoa; Chordata; Amphibia; Anura; Pelobatidae. The record is from the annotation of a GenBank genome assembly.